Molecule: ribosomal RNA, 633 nt
Filed under: uncultured fungus
Lineage: Eukaryota; Fungi
Description: eukaryotic LSU rRNA
Rfam family: 5.8S ribosomal RNA (bases 217-371)
Source: RNAcentral
AAGGAUCAUUACCGAGUCAUCAAACAAGGGUUGUCGCUGGCCCCCCAAACGUGGGGCAUGUGCGCGCCCUGUUUACACACAUCCGCUCACACCUGUGCACCCUUUGUAGUUCUACGUUUGGGAGACCCCGUCUUCCUUCCGCGGCUCUACGUCUUUACACACACUCCGUAGUGAAGUCUCAUGGAAUGUUUUUCUGCGUUUAACGCGAUACAAUACGACUUUCAGCAACGGAUCUCUUGGUUCUCGCAUCGAUGAAGAACGCAGCGAAAUGCGAUAAGUAAUGUGAAUUGCAGAAUUCAGUGAAUCAUCGAAUCUUUGAACGCACCUUGCGCCCCUUGGCCAUUCCUCGGGGCAUGCCUGUUUGAGUAUCAUGAACACUUCAACUCUCAUGGUCUUCCAUGACGAGCUUGGACUUUGUGGGUUUGCUGGCCCUGCAGCCGGCUCCUCUCAAAUGGAUCAGCUUGCCGAUGUUCGGUGGCGACGUGGGUGUGAUAACUGUCUACGCUCGUGGUGUCGUCUGCCAGGUAACCCUCAGCAACGAAGGUUCGUCGGGGCUCACAAACGUCCCUCCUCGCGGGGGACAGCUUUUGAACGUUCGAUCUCAAAUCAGGUAGGACUACCCGCUGAACUUAA